Molecule: ribosomal RNA, 701 nt
Filed under: Pseudonocardia sp.
Lineage: Bacteria; Bacillati; Actinomycetota; Actinomycetes; Pseudonocardiales; Pseudonocardiaceae
Description: bacterial SSU rRNA
Rfam family: Bacterial small subunit ribosomal RNA
Source: RNAcentral
GUACACGAGCGGCGAACGGGUGAGUAACACGUGGGUGACCUGCCCUCAGCUCUGGGAUAAGCCUGGGAAACUGGGUCUAAUACCGGAUAUGACCUCUCAUCGCAUGGUGGGUGGUGGAAAGUUUUUCGGCUGGGGAUGGGCCCGCGGCCUAUCAGCUUGUUGGUGGGGUGAUGGCCUACCAAGGCGACGACGGGUAGCCGGCCUGAGAGGGCGACCGGCCACACUGGGACUGAGAUACGGCCCAGACUCCUACGGGAGGCAGCAGUGGGGAAUAUUGCGCAAUGGGCGAAAGCCUGACGCAGCGACGCCGCGUGGGGGAUGACGGCCUUCGGGUUGUAAACCUCUUUCGACCGGGACGAAGGGUGACUGACGGUACCGGUAGAAGAAGCACCGGCCAACUACGUGCCAGCAGCCGCGGUAAUACGUAGGGUGCGAGCGUUGUCCGGAAUUAUUGGGCGUAAAGAGCUCGUAGGCGGUGUGUCGCGUCGGUCGUGAAAACUUGGGGCUCAACCCUGAGCGUGCGGUCGAUACGGGCAUCACUUGAGUUCGGCAGGGGAGACUGGAAUUCCUGGUGUAGCGGUGAAAUGCGCAGAUAUCAGGAGGAACACCGGUGGCGAAGGCGGGUCUCUGGGCCGAUACUGACGCUGAGGAGCGAAAGCGUGGGGAGCGAACAGGAUUAGAUACCCUGGUAGUCCACGCCG